GGACUACCCGGGUAUCUAAUCCUGUUUGCUCCCCACGCUUUCGCGCCUCAGCGUCAGUAGUGAGCCAAGAAGCCGCCUUCGCCACCGGUGUUCCUCCCGAGAUCUACGCAUUUUACCGCUACUCCGGGAAUUCCACUUCUCUCUCUCACCCUCUAGUAUGCCAGUUUUCAUUGCAGCCCCCCAGUUAGGCCGGAGGAUUUAACAACAAACUUAACAUACCGCCUACGCGCCCUUUACGCCCAAUAAUUCCGAAUAACGCUUGCACCUCUCGUAUUACCGCGGCGGCUGGCAC
Molecule: ribosomal RNA, 292 nt
Filed under: uncultured bacterium
Lineage: Bacteria
Description: partial 16S ribosomal RNA
Source: RNAcentral